Molecule: ribosomal RNA, 292 nt
Filed under: uncultured bacterium
Lineage: Bacteria
Description: partial 16S ribosomal RNA
Rfam family: Bacterial small subunit ribosomal RNA
Source: RNAcentral
GUGUCAGCCGCCGCGGUAAUACGAAGGGGGCUAGCGUUGCUCGGAAUCACUGGGCGUAAAGGGUGCGUAGGCGGGAUCUUAAGUCAGAGGUGAAAGCCUGGAGCUCAACUCCAGAACUGCCUUUGAUACUGGGAUUCUUGAGUUCGGAAGAGGUGAGUGGAACUGCGAGUGUAGAGGUGAAAUUCGUAGAUAUUCGCAAGAACACCAGUGGCGAAGGCGGCUCACUGGUCCGAUACUGACGCUGAGGCACGAAAGCGUGGGGAGCAAACAGGAUUAGAAACCCCCGUAGUCC